CGGGCGGGGAGGGAAGAAGUGCUUCUUCCCUCCUCUCCGGUUCCCUCACCGCGGGCGGCCUUGUACACCCUGAGUUCAGUGGGCUGUGCGUCAGGAUUGAGGCUUUCUUGGAUUUUGGCUGUCCACGUCACUCAGAAAACAGGCAGGGGCCUCUUUGUGAACAUGAGAUCAGCCUACUGUGGGGAGCUCCAGGCCAGCCAGAACUACAAACAAGACCUAGAGGACAUGUAACCAUAAAGAGACUCAACACUCAGGAGGCAGAGGCAGGCAGACCUCUGUGAGUCUGAGUCCAGCCUGGUCUACAAAGCAAGUACCCUGACAGCCAGAACUACAAAGAGAAACCUUGUCUGGAAGAAGAGGAGGGGCAGGGUCUCAGUUCAAUUCUGAGGAUCUACAUGGGACUAAUAGCCACUGGUGACCACAGCUCCAGGCAAUGUGAUGCCCUCUUCUGGUCUCCACUGGUACAGCAUGCACACGGGGCACAAAUAUACAUGUGGG
Molecule: long non-coding RNA, 498 nt
Filed under: Cricetulus griseus (Chinese hamster)
Lineage: Eukaryota; Metazoa; Chordata; Mammalia; Rodentia; Cricetidae
Description: lncRNA (ENSCGRG00015037534.1)
Source: RNAcentral